GUAGGUGGCAAGCGUUGUCCGGAUUUACUGGGCGUAAAGCGCGCGCAGGCGGCUCAUCAAGUCUGGGGUGAAAUCUCCCGGCUCAACCGGGAGAGGUCUCUGGAUACUGAUGGGCUUGAGGAGAGCAGAGGAGAGCGGAAUUCCAGGUGUAGCGGUGAUAUGCGUAGAUAUCUGGAGGAACACCAGUGGCGAAGGCGGCUCUCUGGGCUCUUUCUGACGCUGAGGCGCGAAAGCGUGGGGAGCGAACCGGAUUAGAUACCCGGGUAGUCCACGCCCGUAAACGUUGGGCACUAGGUGUGGGAGGUAUUGACCCCUUCCGUGCCGAAGUUAACGCGAUAAGUGCCCCCGCCUGGGAGUACGGCCGCAAGGCUA
RNAcentral lists this ribosomal RNA (372 nucleotides) under uncultured organism. RNAcentral's name for it is "partial 16S ribosomal RNA". It matches the Rfam family "Bacterial small subunit ribosomal RNA", at positions 527 to 896 of the family's 1533-position model. The record is from RNAcentral.